RNAcentral lists this ribosomal RNA (537 nucleotides) under Copelatus sp. MB5341. Its description in RNAcentral is "SSU rRNA". It matches the Rfam family "Eukaryotic small subunit ribosomal RNA", at positions 8 to 515 of the family's 1831-position model. Lineage: Eukaryota; Metazoa; Arthropoda; Insecta; Coleoptera; Dytiscidae. The record is from RNAcentral.
UUGAUCCUGCCAGUAGUCAUAUGCUUGUCUCAAAGAUUAAGCCAUGCAUGUCUCAGUACAAGCCACAUUAAGGUGAAACCGCGAAAGGCUCAUUAAAUCAGUUAUGGUUCCUUAGAUCGUACCCACAUUUACUUGGAUAACUGUGGUAAUUCUAGAGCUAAUACAUGCAAACAGAGUUCCGACCGGAGACGGGAGGAAUGCUUUUAUUAGAUCAAAACCAAUCGGCGGCGGGUGCGCUCGCGCGCCCGUUCGCCGCUCAACCUGGUGACUCUGAAUAACUUUCGGCUGAUCGCACGGUCCAGCACCGGCGACGCAUCUUUCAAAUGUCUGCCUUAUCAACUGUCGAUGGUAGGUUCUGCGCCUACCAUGGUCGUAACGGGUAACGGGGAAUCAGGGUUCGAUUCCGGAGAGGGAGCCUGAGAAACGGCUACCACAUCCAAGGAAGGCAGCAGGCGCGCAAAUUACCCACUCCCGGCACGGGGAGGUAGUGACGAAAAAUAACGAUACGGGACUCAUCCGAGGCCCCGUAAUCGGAAU